This 18-nucleotide unclassified non-coding RNA is filed under the name Chlamydomonas reinhardtii. Its description in RNAcentral is "small RNA Cre_1590". The record is from RNAcentral. Lineage: Eukaryota; Viridiplantae; Chlorophyta; Chlorophyceae; Chlamydomonadales; Chlamydomonadaceae.
GACUCAGCGAACCAGCGG